This is a non-coding RNA of Myotis davidii, 76 nucleotides long. Lineage: Eukaryota; Metazoa; Chordata; Mammalia; Chiroptera; Vespertilionidae. The record is from Rfam.
GAGACACCCUUAUGGGGCAAGACUUGCUUCAGUGGGGCUUUGGUGCUCACUGAGUCUUCCCCCUGAUUGUGUCCCU